Molecule: ribosomal RNA, 253 nt
Filed under: uncultured bacterium
Lineage: Bacteria
Description: partial 16S ribosomal RNA
Rfam family: Bacterial small subunit ribosomal RNA
Source: RNAcentral
UACGUAGGGGGCAAGCGUUGUCCGGAAUCAUUGGGCGUAAAGCGCGUGUAGGCGGUCCGGUAAGUCCGCUGUGAAAGUCGGGGGCUUAACCCUCGGAUGCCGGUGGAUACUGUCGGGCUUGAGUACGGAAGAGGCGAGUGGAAUUCCUGGUGUAGCGGUGAAAUGCGCAGAUAUCAGGAGGAACACCAAUUGCGAAGGCAGCUCGCUGGGACGUUACUGACGCUGAGACGCGAAAUCGUGGGGAUCAAACAGG